RNAcentral lists this long non-coding RNA (2067 nucleotides) under Nicotiana tabacum (common tobacco). RNAcentral's name for it is "long non-coding RNA (NTAB_LNC016790)". The record is from RNAcentral. Lineage: Eukaryota; Viridiplantae; Streptophyta; Magnoliopsida; Solanales; Solanaceae.
CUUCUUCCAGCAAAAAGGCAAAGAUAGAAGUGUAGCCCAUAGUUUGUAUGAAACUAAGCAAAAAAAAUAAAGUUAUCACGUAAAGAUUCAAUUAACUUAUGCUUCUAUUCGGGGGUAAGUGACGAACAACUAUAGACCUCCCAACUAUCCCAUGGAUGAAUAAGAUUACUUAUUCAUGUGUUUAAUGGUUGAAAUGCCAGUGCUUGUUUUUUCUGACUCAACGAUUCGAUUUCCGAAAACUAAUUUGACUUGCACUGUCACAGGUUUAUAUUCCUCCCCUUUAGGAAAUAUACUGGCGGCUGUGAUUGAAUUAACUUCCAGGUUGUUCUUUGCUCUCCUUAGAUCUCUCUAUCCCCAUGAUAAAGUGAAUUUUAUAACAUGGUGCAAGAUUGAAGGUACCGCAUCCAUGUCAUGUAUCCAUGGUCUUCCCAAUAUGGCGUUGUAGGCCAUGUCCCCUACCACGACUUGUAAUGGAGUAUCUCUAGUUACCCCUUCUGUGAAGGUCCUCAAGGUGUUCUCUCCUUUAGUUAUUUUACUAGAGUUAUUGUAUCCGGAGAGUAGUAGUGUUUUUGGGAUAAUCCAAUCCUUAGUCUUCAUCUCCUUGAUUACUCGUAUUUUAAUGAUAUUGGACGAUCUACAUGGGUCAACUAAAGCAUGUCUAAUAUCACUAUCAACAAUUCAUAUAGUAAUUACCAUUCUGUCAUUGUAUGGCGCGAGCUGUCUAUCUACGUCCUCAUCAUUGAAUGUAAUUUCUUAUCUGGCGAGGAUCUGUCAGGUCGCUUCUCAUAGGUGAUGGAUACCUUUGAGAGCUUGUGUGACAAAGGUUUUGUAGUAAUGGUCACUCUGGAACUCGCACCAGAAUUUGUGUAUAUGCUUAUAUGGGUCCAUUCUCAUCUCCUUUUGCCAUCUUACUAUUUCCCCCAUUUGCCUGAGCAUCACCACCAGAUCAGUGGUGCUGACAUUGAAUUUGUAGUCGGCCAACUUUGGUCGGAGAUGAUAAUCACCGAUUUUUGAUGUUUCUAUUUCUUUUUCUAAUUGAUGAGGCACUUUAUCAUUCUUCCGUCCGAGAUUUCUAUCGUCACGACUCGAUUUGGGCCUUUUGUCAUUCUUCCGGUGCAUGGGACUAGAAUAAGGUUCAUACCGAGAUCUAGAAUCUCAAUACCUGGGCUCAUCCUAUCUCAAAAAAUGAUUUGUUCCGAUGGCUAUAUCCCACUGGCUCUUUGGCUUCAAAUCCUGAUAGUACCGAGAUGUUAUCCUCUUUUCAGAGCUUAGUGUUGUACUUGUGAUAUACAUUAUUUCAUGUUUUGGCAGGGAAUUCUUGUAAGUUUUCUUUUAGUUACUUUGAAGCUUUGGAGUUGCUCAGGUUAUGAUGUCGUGUAAAAGCCACAACGGCGCAAUUGUCUGGUACUUCAGGAAGCAUCAUUGUCUCCCUCAAAAAUCAAGGUAUGAAAUCUCGGAGCGAUUAUGUUUUUCCCUGCAUGACUAUGAAUAAUCCUCCACUUGGUUUUUCACCUUUUAGGCUCCAGAGUACGCCUUGAUGGAAGCAUCUGCAAGUUCAGCAAAAGUACUAAUAGAAUUUUCAGAUAAAUGGGAGUACUAUAUUAGUGUUCCCGUUGUCAGGGUCUCUUCAAACUUCUUGACGAGCACUCAUCUGAUUUCGUCCUUCGUGAGGUUAUUUCCCUAAUAUGGCAGUGAUUUGACCCGUGAUUGGCGAGAGAUUCGCACAAUCUCUUAUUAAUGCUCUUGGCACGUUCACAGGCUCUGCCUGUAGAAUUUUUCUAGGCAAUGCUUGCUGCUCUUAGUGAUUGGUGUAAGCUCAAUUCUCUAGAGAUUCUUGGCUUUGCCCUUUGCCUAUAAAUAUACACAAUUGGCAUCAUUGCUUUUAUUUUUCCUCAGUCUCUUCUUUGAGUUUUCUUUCUCUAUAUUUUCAUUUCCUAUGUGUUAGUCUAUCUUUAUUUUUAAAAACAUCAUAGAUAAACAACAGAUCAAUCAUGUUACUAUUGUUGUAGAGGCUUUGUCCUCUUUGGCACUGAGGUCCUGUUUUGAAGCACCAGAGUCCGCCCAAGG